This 3696-nucleotide ribosomal RNA is filed under the name Metschnikowia hamakuensis. Lineage: Eukaryota; Fungi; Ascomycota; Pichiomycetes; Serinales; Metschnikowiaceae. The record is from RNAcentral.
AGGUGAUAUAUUGAAAAUAGGUAUAUGAAAUUAAUAUUAUUUUAAGGAUAAUUAAUCAAAAUUUAAAAUAUGAUAUAAAGAUAUUAAAUAUCAAUCAUAAUCAUGAAAAUGAGAAAAAGGAAAAGCUAAUGGAAUGAAACAUCUGAGUAAUUAGUAAAAGAACCAACAGGGAAAAUAUAAGUAACGGUGAGUGAAAAUAUAAAAAAUCUAAAAGUAUUACCAUGAGGUAAGAAUAUAGUAGUUUCCUACUUCUAAGGAUAAAAAAGAAAUUUUAGAUAAAAGUACUGCAAAGGAAAAUUAAGAAAUAGAAUAAUAAAGAGCAGUCAUAGUAUGGCGUACCUCUUGUAUAAUGGGCCAGUGAGUUAUAUAAUUUAGUGAAAAAGAGAUUUUUAGAUAUAAUUAGAUUCUUAAUUAAAUUAUAUAGGCCCGAAAGCAAACGAUCUACAUAUGUCCAAGUAUAUAUAUAAUUUAUAUAUGACUCAAUAGGUAAUUGUAGCAAUAAUUUCUAAAGAGAUGUGUGUAGUUGUGACAGACAAAUCUGGUUUGCAGAUAGCUGGUUUUCUGCGAAAUAUAUUUUAGUAUAGCCUUUAUCUUUUUUAAACUGGUACAGCACUUAAAUAAAUUUGGGGAAUUAGAAUAUAAUUUUAUCAAAAUAUUUAAACCUCGGAAUCAGUUAAUAAUUAAGAUAAGGAGUCAGACUUAUUGCGAUAAGGUAUUAAGUCGAGAAGGAAACAACCUAGACUAUUAAAUGUAUGUCCCAAAUAUUAAUUAAGUGAAUAAAAUCUAUCUUAUAUUAAACGUAGAAAAUACGGAGAAUUAAAUUAUAGACAAUUAGUAAGUGGGUUUGACAAUAAUCAAUUUUUAAUGAACAUGUAACAAUGCACUAAUUUUAUAUAUAUAUUUUUCUAUAUAUUUAUUAAUAAUAGAGAAAAUAUACGGGUCUAAAUUAAUAACAGUAUUAUAGAUAUAAUAAAAGGAUUAUAUGGUAGCAGAAUAUAUAAUAAAAAAUUAUAAAGAGAUUGCUGGCUUGAGUAACGAUAGAUAAUAUAAGAUUAUCCCCUUAUUCAUAAGGUUUAAUUAUAAACGAACGGUCCCUAAGAUUAUAUAUAGAAAUAGAAAAUUAAUGGGAGAAAGAACAAGAAAAAAAGAAUGAACCGUACUGUAAACCGACACAGGUAUGAUAAUAAAGGGAAUGAGAUAACUACUUUGAAUGAACUCGGCAAAAUAAAUCGUGCGACUGUUUACCAAAAACAUAGCUUAUUGCAUACUAGUAAUAGUAAGUAUAAUAAGUGAUAUCUGCCCGGUGUUAGUUAAAUAAAUAUAAGUAUUAAAAAGAUAUUUAUAUAAAUAACUGAUAAACGGCGGUCUUAUUGUGAGGAUCCGAAGGUAGCGGUGCGACAAGAAGUUCGUAUUAAGAAUGUGGUGUAAUUCCACUAACAACUAUCAUAUUUGUUAAAUCUAUCUUAACAUGCAUUAUGAGCAAUUAUUUUGUAUGAAGCUUAAGAGACAAAUGGUGAUAAGCUUUAACUGAUAUAAGUGAAUUCAUCAAGAUUAGAAUGACAUGAUUAGUAUAUCAAAACAGUGGAUUAAAAUUUCGUUAAAGGAAAAUAACAAGAUCAGUAGGGGUUAUAAAAAUGACAAGAAAGAAAAUCAUCGCUGCAGAUUUAUUUAUAUGAUUGAAAAAACAACAAGAGUCAUCGGAAUAUAGCUGUAAUCUAAAUCAUUCAAUAAAAGUCUUAAUACGGGAACUUGGUAAACCUUUAAUAUCCCUAUAUAUAUAUAUAGGAAGUAAUGUAUAAAAUAAUUAAGCAAAUUAUGGAAAUAAUUAUAUAGUAUUGAAGGUAAAGGAGAAACAGAAAAAGCGAAAGGUUUUAUGUAAUUUAAAACAUAUAGAUAAAUAUCUAAUUUCGAAAGAAAGCAGACUUCUGUAUAAGGCUAUAUAAAGAUAUAUAGUUUGAGCCGUGUGCGAUGAAAGCCGCAUGCACGGUUCUAGAGGGGGGAAAGUCUGAGAGGACCUACCUAUCCUAACAAAUUCAUUGACGUAUAAUUGACGUCCAGCAUGAAUGAAUAAACGAUGCGAUAACUGUAUCCAAAGUAGACUCAGUGAAAUAGCAAUUGCGGUGAGUUUUUGUACUAUAUCUAUUUUAGAUAUUUUAUGCCGGGUUGGUAUUAAAUCCAACUUUAUAAUUAGAAUAAAUAUAAAAAAAAGAAUACAAUCGAAUUAUAUUUAUAUCCUUAAAAUAAAAGGUUAAUUAACAUAAGGCAAAAUGCAAAUUAGAAUAAUUAUAAAUAAAAAGGUGAAAACGGUUAAUGACAUCUUAGUUAAAGACCGUCGGCAGUUGUAUAUGUCGCUACAGACUGGUUCACCGAGGUUAGACUGAAAUGUCUGUCUAAAUGUACAGUCGGAUUCUGUAAUAUAUUAUAUAUAGAGGUGAAAGAUAGAAACCUAUGAAAAUAGGAGAAAGCUUAUAAGUACAUAAGUAAUAAACCUUUAUGGGUCAAGCCCAUUUAAGUUAAUCAGAAUUGGAAGAUGCCGUAUAUCUGUAGGUUGACAAAAAGACCCUAUGCAGCUUUACUAUAUCUUUAUUUUGAUUUAGAAAUCUUUGUGAUUUUAAGCCUUUUUUUAUUCAUUUCAGUAGAUUAGGUUAUAUUUAUAUGUUAAAUAAAAUGAGAUACCUAUAUAGAUAAGAAAAGAAUCUAAUUAGUAAUUUAAGAAAGAGUAAAGAGGUUAGUUUCGAUGGGGCGUCGACAUCAGCGAAAGCAUCUGAUGUGUCUAAUAAUUAUGGUUUUUAUAUAAAACAAGAUAUUUAAUUAAAUUAUUUAUUUAAUAGUAAAAAACGUACAAUAAUUCUAUAUGGUAAAUAGAAAGAUAAUAAGUAAGGAUAACAACAUAAUUGUGCGAUGAUAAUAACACAAACAAGUGAAAUUAGUACUUAAGUAGAGUGUAAUGAACAGGCAUAAACAAAUGGUAUGGAUGUCGAUAACGAAUUAAAGUUACGCUAGGGAUUAAAUGUUAGUUCCUUUAUAUAGAAAUAUAUAUAUCUCCGCGUAAGUGAGAUAACUUUUUUAAUAAAAGUAUAUAAAUUGGGUGAAUUACAAAGAUCUCUUAUUAAUAAGAUAAUUUGUAGCGAAGUAUAUAUUAGUUAAAUUAAGAUAUAUAAACGUUCAACGACUAGUAAUUGAGUAAACUAACAAUAAUAUUACCACGAGCGCCCAAUACCUAAAUAUAUAAAAAGGUAAAAACAUAGUCUGAACUAUAUAGUAAUAUAUAGAAGUUGAAAAUAAAAAACCAACGAUAACAAAAUUGAACAGGGUAAUACCGCGUGAGAGUAGAUAUCGUCAGCGGUGUUUGCCACCUCGAUGUCGUCUAGACUCAUCCUCCUGGUAGCAGCAACUAGGUAGGGUAGGACUGUUCGUCCUCUAAGGAGUUACUUGAGAUGGGUUAAUUACGACGUGAGUCAGUAAUGAUUUUAUCAUCUAUAGAUCUUUUCUUCUCUGUUGCCUUAAGUGUACGCAAGGAUAAUAAGGUACUUUUCUAUGGUUAAUAAAAAAAUUAGCUAAAAAAGUUGAGUUUAUAUAUUGAAUGCAUAUCAAAUAUUAAAUCCUUCAGAUAAGAUAUUAAACAUUAUAGAUUAUAAUGUAUUAGUUAAUUUGUAUUAUUUGCAAUUAAACUAAUUAAAAUUUAUUCAUAUACCU